UACCUGGUAUCUCAGCUGAUAGAGAAUCUGCCUACAAUGCAGGAGACCCUGGUUCAAUUCCUGGUUAGGAAG
Molecule: transfer RNA, 72 nt
Filed under: Bos taurus (domestic cattle)
Lineage: Eukaryota; Metazoa; Chordata; Mammalia; Artiodactyla; Bovidae
Also listed under: 1 other name
Rfam family: tRNA
About the family: Transfer RNA (tRNA) molecules are approximately 80 nucleotides in length. Their secondary structure includes four short double-helical elements and three loops (D, anti-codon, and T loops).
Source: Rfam by way of RNAcentral